GGGGGGGGGGGGGGGGGGGCCUGGGGGGGUGGGGGCGGGCGGCGGGGGGGGGGGGGUGCUCGUCGGGCGUGAGCGGCGGACUGGUGAGCGGCGCGUGGGGCAGCGGCGUAUGCGACUUUGAUAGGUUCGUGCGCCCGGAUCUAGUACCUGAUCCGAGCUUAGGCCGCAUGUUGCCCGGUCUCACGACGGAUACGCUGUCACUUAUUGAUUGAUCCGCGACGCAUUGGCGAGUUGGUAAGGUCACGUCUUACCAAGGCACCGAUGCGUAGCCGACCUGAGAGGGUGAUAGGCCACACUGGAACUGAGACACGGUCCAGACUCCUACGGGAGGCAGCAGUAGGGAAUCUUCCGCAAUGGGCGAAAGCCUGACGGAGCAACGCCGCGUGAGUGAUGAAGGUCUUCGGAUCGUAAAACGCUGUUAUUAGGGAAGAACAAAUGUGUAAGUAACUAUGCACGUCUUGACGGUACCUAAUCAGAAAGCCACGGCUAACUACGUG
This 497-nucleotide ribosomal RNA is filed under the name uncultured bacterium. RNAcentral's name for it is "partial 16S ribosomal RNA". It matches the Rfam family "Bacterial small subunit ribosomal RNA", at positions 27 to 507 of the family's 1533-position model. The record is from RNAcentral.